GAUGAACGCUGGCGGCGCGCCUAAUACAUGCAAGUCGAGCGAACGGACGAGAAGCUUGCUUCUCUGAUGUUAGCGGCGGACGGGUGAGUAACACGUGGAUAACCUACCUAUAAGACUGGGAUAACUUAGGGAAACCGGAGCUAAUACCGGAUAAUAUUUUGAACCGCAUGGUUCAAAAGUGAAAGACGGUCUUGCUGUCACUUAUAGAUGGAUCCGCGCUGCAUUAGCUAGUUGGUAAGGUAACGGCUUACCAAGGCAACGAUGCAUAGCCGACCUGAGAGGGUGAUCGGCCACACUGGAACUGAGACACGGUCCAGACUCCUACGGGAGGCAGCAGUAGGGAAUCUUCCGCAAUGGGCGAAAGCCUGACGGAGCAACGCCGCGUGAGUGAUGAAGGUCUUCGGAUCGUAAAACUCUGUUAUUAGGGAAGAACAUAUGUGUAAGUAACUGUGCACAUCUUGACGGUACCUAAUCAGAAAGCCACGGCUAACUACGUG
RNAcentral lists this ribosomal RNA (497 nucleotides) under uncultured bacterium. RNAcentral describes it as "partial 16S ribosomal RNA". It matches the Rfam family "Bacterial small subunit ribosomal RNA", at positions 28 to 507 of the family's 1533-position model. The record is from RNAcentral.